CAAGUCAGCUGGACAAUUGCUGUUUUCAAUUCUUUGCUUAUCGAUCUUCGGUAAAUGAGGAGGAAAACAGAGGAAAGUCCGGGCUCCAUAGAGCAGGGUGCCAGGUAACGCCUGGGGGGUGUGAACCCACGGCAAGUGCAACAGAAAAGAUACCGCCUGGUCUCGCGAGAGCGCAGGUAAGGGUGAAAUGGUGCGGUAAGAGCGCACCGCGCGGCUGGUAACAGUCCGCGGCAAGGUAAACCCCACCCGGAGCAAGGCCAAAUAGGAAUCUGAUAGUGUGGCUCGCACUGGAUUCGGGUAGGCCGCUACAAGCCUGUGGUGACACAGGUUGCAGAUGAAUAAUUGUCCUCGACAGAACCCGGCUUACAGGCUGACUUACCUC
This 382-nucleotide RNase P RNA is filed under the name Gammaproteobacteria bacterium. RNAcentral describes it as "RNase P RNA component class A". It matches the Rfam family "Bacterial RNase P class A". From Rfam's summary of the family: Ribonuclease P (RNase P) is a ubiquitous endoribonuclease, found in archaea, bacteria and eukarya as well as chloroplasts and mitochondria. Lineage: Bacteria; Pseudomonadati; Pseudomonadota; Gammaproteobacteria. The record is from RNAcentral.